RNAcentral lists this long non-coding RNA (1517 nucleotides) under Anas platyrhynchos platyrhynchos (common mallard). RNAcentral describes it as "lncRNA (ENSAPLG00000027997.1)". The record is from RNAcentral. Lineage: Eukaryota; Metazoa; Chordata; Aves; Anseriformes; Anatidae.
AUGAUCCACCUUUUCUUUCACUCGCCUCUCCUCCAGCAAAUCUAUAAUGCAUUUAAUCUUCAGCAGUCACUCUCCUCAGUUUUUAAAUGUCUAAUUUGCUGCCGAGUGCAGCUCCAAUUCUCUCUGUGCCGCCGUUUUAACUCUCUGCCUUGUGUUUGCCCAAUUGCUUGUCUGCUUGGAUGGAGAGACCCGACUGCACCUGAUCCUUCGGAGAGAGGGAGGGGGAGAGAAGCUUACCGGAGGGCAGAGACUUCGCAGCGUCGUUGUCCAGGCAAACACCUUGGUGCUUUGGGAGACUACCUGCUUUGCUCACACCACAGCCAGCAGGCUGCUGUCAAGCAAGGCUUUCCCCUGUGCCAAGAGCAGGCUCCCCAGCCCUCGGCUGGCUGGAGCAGGCGUGCGGUGCCUGGGCCAUGCUGCCAGCACUGGCACGAAGCCUCCUUCAGCCCACAGCAAGGCAGGAGGUGGGGAUGGUUUCACCAAACCUCGUGGGUUUGUUCCCAAGCGCCCAGACUCGCUCUGACCCUUCCAAGGCUGCUCAGGCAGAACCUGUCCCCAGGAGCCCCCACCCCAGCCCUGGCAGCCCCUGACUGCUCUUCCUCUGUGCCCCACCAUCAUCCCCACUCAACCCGAGCAACCCAGUGUCACUGCUGUAACUGGCAGCCCCCAGCAUACUGGGGAUGCUGGGCACUGCCCUCCCACCCCACCUGUGCUCCCAGCUGCGGCCACUUCUCUGCCCCAUCUGAGAGCACUCAGCACCAGCCUGCGUGCCUGCUGCCAGCUGUGGGUGUUAAUGCCCUCUGCAGGGGCUGGUGGUGUGGCUGUUUGGGACUGCUCUGCAGGGCAGUUCUGCUGAGAAUUACUGUGCCACCAGGAGGAAUAAACAACCAUUAUGUCUCAGCACAAGGAAGGCGGUUAAUUUUUCCCUGUUGGAGCUCUGUUGCUCUGAAACACUUUCUCAUUGUACUCGUGAAAUAUAUGUUAGUAUAAUUAUGGAUACUGGUCCGGGCAGCAAAUGAAAGGCAUGGUGGUGAUUAAUGUAAGUGUGUGUGAGGUCACCUUUCCUCACCCUGGCAUGGAAGAAAGAAGUCCAUCUCUCUUUUCCCUAAAAUCUCCUGGAACUAAACAAGUGGCAGGGCAAUAUCCAUAACAAUGUGCAGAACGCUGUAAGAGAUGGCAGACCUGAAAAGAGGGGAAAGAAAUUCCCCUGAAUUUCUGACUUCUCUCAGAUGGAAUAUUAAUGCUCUUUUAACAGUAUUUUGAAUUCUAUUUCUAUAGAUGGAUUUUCUAAAAUGAUGGCGUUAAAAAAGACUGCCCCCGCCCCCAGCAGUUUCUGGCUCACAUCAGAGGAAGCUGCUCAGGAGGGCUUUGACAUACAAGACACUGUAAUGGCUCCUGAAAUCAGUCCCUGCCGUAGCAAAGUCACCACCCAGACACGCACAGCACCGUGCCCGUGGGCUGUGGAGCCCAGCUCCAUGAAUGUGCAGCAGAGCAGGCAGCAGAGGAGAACAAUUUGG